GCCACAUGGUAGGAGAGCGUUCCGUAGGCCGGUGAAGGUGGCUUGUAAAGGCUGCUGGAGGUAUCGGAAGUGCGAAUGCUGACAUGAGUAGCGAUAAAGCGAGUGAAAGGCUCGCUCGCCGAAAGCCCAAGGUUUCCUCCGCCACGUUCAUCGGCGGAGGGUGAGUCGGCCCCUAAGGUGAGGGCGAAAGCCGUAGCUGAUGGGAAGCGGGUUAAUAUUCCCGCACCGGUCAUGGAUGCGAUGGGGGGACGGAGAAAGUUAGGUGGGCCGGGUGUUGGAUGUCCCGGUGAAAGCGUGUAGGCAUGGGUUCCAGGCAAAUCCGGAGCUCUAAGCCGAGGCGUGAUGACGGAAGGCUCUUCGGAGUCCCAAGCCACUGAUACUCUGCUUCCAGGAAAAGCCUCUAAGCUUCAGUCCAUGAGCGACCGUACCGCAAACCGACACAGGUGGGCAGGAUGAGAAUUCUAAGGCGCUUGAGAGAACUCGGGUGAAGGAACUCGGCAAAUUAGCACCGUAACUUCGGUAAAAGGUGCGCCCCUGUUAGGUGAAGGCGUACAGCCGGAGCCGAGAGGGGUCGCAGUGAAAAGGUGGCUGCGACUGUUUAACAAAAACACAGCACUCUGCUAACACGAAAGUGGACGUAUAGGGUGUGACGCCUGCCCGGUGCCGGAAGGUUAAAUGAUGGGGUGCAAGCUCUUGAUUGAAGCCCCGGUAACGGCGGCCGUAACUAUAACGGUCCUAAGGUAGCGAAAUUCCUUGUCGGGUAAGUUCCGACCCGCACGAAUGGCGUAACGAUGGCCACACUGUCUCCACCCGAGACUCAGCGAAGUUGAAAUGUUUGUGAAGAUGCAAUCUCCCCGCGGCAAGACGGAAAGACCCCGUGCACCUUUACUGUAGCUUUACAUUGGAUUGUGACAAGACUUGUGUAGGAUAGCUGGGAGGCGAUGAAGCGAGGGCGCUAGCUUUCGUGGAGCCAACGUUGAAAUACCAGCCUGGUGUUGUUGCGGUUCUAACCUGGACCCCUGAUCGGGGUUGGGGACCGUGUAUGGUAGGCAGUUUGACUGGGGCGGUCUCCUCCCAAAGAGUAACGGAGGAGCUCGAAGGUCCGCUAGGUACGGUCGGACAUCGUACUGAUAGUGCAAUGGCAUAAGCGGGCUUAACUGCGAGCCUGACAAGGCGAGCAGGUGCGAAAGCAGGACAUAGUGAUCCGGUGGUUCUGUAUGGAAGGGCCAUCGCUCAACGGAUAAAAGGUACGCCGGGGAUAACAGGCUGAUACCGCCCAAGAGUUCAUAUCGACGGCGGUGUUUGGCACCUCGAUGUCGGCUCAUCACAUCCUGGGGCUGUAGCCGGUCCCAAGGGUAUGGCUGU
RNAcentral lists this ribosomal RNA (1365 nucleotides) under metagenome. RNAcentral describes it as "bacterial LSU rRNA". It matches the Rfam family "Bacterial large subunit ribosomal RNA", at positions 1220 to 2580 of the family's 2925-position model. The record is from RNAcentral.